Molecule: ribosomal RNA, 652 nt
Filed under: uncultured Acidobacteriota bacterium
Lineage: Bacteria; Pseudomonadati; Acidobacteriota
Description: uncultured Acidobacteria bacterium partial 16S ribosomal RNA
Source: RNAcentral
UACCUUGUUACGACUUCACCCCAAUCACUGACCAUACCUUAAGAACCUGCCUCCCUUGCGGGUUAGCGCGGCUACUUCUAGUACAGCCAGCUUUCGUGAUGUGACGGGCGGUGUGUACAAGGCCCGGGAACGUAUUCACCGCGGCGUGCUGAUCCGCGAUUACUAGCGAUUCCAACUUCAUGCAGGCGAGUUGCAGCCUACAAUCCGAACUGAGACCGGCUUUCUCCGAUUAGCUCACCCUCGCGAGUUUGCAACGGUUUGUACCGGCCAUUGUAGCACGUGUGUGGCCCCAGACAUAAAGGCCAUGCUGACUUGACGUCAUCCCCACCUUCCUCCGGUUUGUCACCGGCAGUCUCUUCAGAGUGCCCGGCUUGACCCGAUGGCAACAGAAGACAAGGGUUGCGCUCGUUGCGGGACUUAACCCAACAUCUCACGACACGAGCUGACGACAGCCAUGCAGCACCUCGACAGAUGCCCCUGCGGGAGCCUACUUUCGUAGGAUGUCAUCUGCCGUUCGAGCCUGGGUAAGGUUCUUCGCGUUGCGUCGAAUUAAACCACAUGCUCCACCGCUUGUGCGGGGCCCCCGUCAAUUCCUUUGAUUUCAGAAUUGCGACCGUACUCCCCAGGCGGAAUGCUUAACGCGUUUAUUUCU